RNAcentral lists this transfer RNA (84 nucleotides) under Pirellulaceae bacterium. Its description in RNAcentral is "tRNA-Leu". It matches the Rfam family "tRNA". From Rfam's summary of the family: Transfer RNA (tRNA) molecules are approximately 80 nucleotides in length. Their secondary structure includes four short double-helical elements and three loops (D, anti-codon, and T loops). Further hydrogen bonds mediate the characteristic L-shaped molecular structure. tRNAs have two regions of fundamental functional importance: the anti-codon, which is responsible for specific mRNA codon recognition, and the 3' end, to which the tRNAs corresponding amino acid is attached (by aminoacyl-tRNA synthetases). tRNAs cope with the degeneracy of the genetic code in two manners: having more than one tRNA (with a specific anti-codon) for a particular amino acid; and 'wobble' base-pairing, i.e. permitting non-standard base-pairing at the 3rd anti-codon position. The record is from RNAcentral. Lineage: Bacteria; Pseudomonadati; Planctomycetota; Planctomycetia; Pirellulales; Pirellulaceae.
GCCAGAGUGGCGGAAUUGGCAGACGCGCCGGAUUCAAAAUCCGGUGGCCGCAAGGUCGUGCGGGUUCGACUCCCGCCUCUGGUA